RNAcentral lists this ribosomal RNA (301 nucleotides) under uncultured bacterium. RNAcentral describes it as "partial 16S ribosomal RNA". It matches the Rfam family "Bacterial small subunit ribosomal RNA", at positions 509 to 807 of the family's 1533-position model. The record is from RNAcentral.
CAGCAGCCGCGGUAAUACGAAGGGUGCAAGCGUUACUCGGAAUUACUGGGCGUAAAGCGUGUGUAGGUGGUUGUUUAAGUCUGUCGUGAAAGCCCUGGGCUCAACCUGGGAAUUGCGAUGGAUACUGGGCGACUAGAGUGCGGUAGAGGAUAGUGGAAUUUCCGGUGUAGCAGUGAAAUGCGUAGAGAUCGGAAGGAACAUCUGUGGCGAAGGCGACUAUCUGGGCCAACACUGACACUGAGACACGAAAGCGUGGGGAGCAAACAGGAUUAGAGACCCCUGUAGUCCCUGUCUCUUAUAC